This 250-nucleotide ribosomal RNA is filed under the name uncultured bacterium. RNAcentral describes it as "partial 16S ribosomal RNA". It matches the Rfam family "Bacterial small subunit ribosomal RNA", at positions 524 to 773 of the family's 1533-position model. The record is from RNAcentral.
UACGUAGGGCGCAAGCGUUGUCCGGAUUUAUUGGGCGUAAAGAGCUCGUAGGUGGUUUGUCGCGUCUGCUGUGAAAACUCGGGGCUUAACCCCGGGCCUGCAGUGGGUACGGGCAGACUAGAGUGUGGUAGGGGAGAGCGGAACUCCAGGUGUAGCGGUGAUAUGCGUAGAGAUCUGGAAGAACACCCGUGGCGAAGGCGGCUCUCUGGACCGUAACUGACGCUGAGGCGCGAAAGCCAGGGGAGCGAAC